Molecule: unclassified non-coding RNA, 444 nt
Filed under: Hevea brasiliensis (rubber tree)
Lineage: Eukaryota; Viridiplantae; Streptophyta; Magnoliopsida; Malpighiales; Euphorbiaceae
Source: RNAcentral
AAAAAAUAAAACUUCUUUUUUUUUUACUUUUGCUCCAAAAAAAUGAAGAAAUCAAAUAUUUUUGCAGCUUCCAUAACUGCAGCUUCUUCUGCAGUUGCUAUUUCUUCUUCAAAUUCUUCAUCCAGAGUUCGAAUUUCUCAUCAUCAGGAUGAAAGUUCAAUGAAGAAGAAGAAGAAUGAAGAAAAUUCAUUGAAGAAAAAUGGAGAAUCAAAAUCUUCUUCAGACAAAUUUGCACCAAAAUUUGAUGGAUUGAGAUUUAUUGAGACUUUGAUUACAGCUCACAGAUAAGUUAACAAGAGGGGAAAAAAAAAGAAAGUAAUUUUUGACAGCUUUAUUAGUGAAAAUAUUAUCUGAGGAAAAAAUGGAAUAUAUGAAGGUGAAAUUGUAUGAUAUUAAUUUUGUUUAUGGGUUUUGUUUUUGCUUAAUUGGUGUUUAAUUAGGCAA